GUAAAAGUUUGAUUCUAGCUAGUUUAUUUACUCUUUCUACGAGUCAUAUGCAAGAUAUCAUUAUAGGUUAGAAGUGCAGUGAUUGACAUUAUUGCCUACUUCUUAGGUAUAGCGAACGAAAAGAUAGGGGGACCACUUUGUGCCAGCAUCCGCGGUCAUACAAGGCCCUAGAGCAAAUAUUUUAGGUGAACAGAGGAGCUUUGGGACAAGUAUAUUUUAGAUCAAUAAGGGUGAAAUCUGUAUUUAUUCUCAAUUUGUUUGAAUAAGGCACUCUUUUGAUGGUCAAACAACUAGGAUUAGAUACCCUAUUAGUUCAUUUCUAAUUAACCUGGGUAGUAUUAUUUAAACCUAAAGAAUUUGGCGGUUUCUAAACUUACUAGAGGAACCUGCCCCAUAAACGACAAUCCACGAGACAACCGACCCGUUCUUGUAAAACAGCUUAUAUACCGUCGUUUAGGGGAUUAAAUAAAUAACUGCUCUUAAUUGCUUAGGCUAAUAAAUCAGAUCAAGGUGUAGCUUAUGUCCGGGAGAGGGUGGGUUACAAUAAGAACUUAAACGGAACUUUCAUUUUAUCAUGGAGAAGAAGGUGGAUUUAGAAGUAAGGCCUAUCAACCUGAAGGAGGCUAUGAGAAAUGUACACAUCGCCCGUCGCUCUCUUGUCCGAAGAGAUAAGUCGUAACAAAGUAGGUAUACCGGAAGGUGUAUCUUGAAAG
Molecule: non-coding RNA, 713 nt
Filed under: Artemia salina
Lineage: Eukaryota; Metazoa; Arthropoda; Branchiopoda; Anostraca; Artemiidae
Source: RNAcentral